AGCGGUAACAUUUCAAAAGCUUGCUUUUGAAGAUGACGAGCGGCGGACGGGUGAGUAAUGCCUGGGAAUUUGCCCAUUUGUGGGGGAUAACAGUUGGAAACGACUGCUAAUACCGCAUACGCCCUACGGGGGAAAGCAGGGGACCUUCGGGCCUUGCGCUGAUGGAUAAGCCCAGGUGGGAUUAGCUAGUAGGUGAGGUAAAGGCUCACCUAGGCGACGAUCCCUAGCUGGUCUGAGAGGAUGAUCAGCCACACUGGGACUGAGACACGGCCCAGACUCCUACGGGAGGCAGCAGUGGGGAAUAUUGCACAAUGGGGGAAACCCUGAUGCACCCAUGCCGCGUGUGUGAAGAAAGCCUUCGGGUUGUAAAGCACUUUCACCGAGGAGGAAAGGGUGUAAGUUAAUACCUUACAUCUGUGACAUUUCUCCCA
RNAcentral lists this ribosomal RNA (431 nucleotides) under Shewanella algae. RNAcentral's name for it is "bacterial SSU rRNA". It matches the Rfam family "Bacterial small subunit ribosomal RNA", at positions 65 to 483 of the family's 1533-position model. The record is from RNAcentral. Lineage: Bacteria; Pseudomonadati; Pseudomonadota; Gammaproteobacteria; Alteromonadales; Shewanellaceae.